UUUUGAACUAAGCUUACUGGGCAGUAUUCCGCUUGUGUGCUUGACAAUUUAAGUGUAGCACUUUGUAAGGCACGCGGUGAAUGCUAAGCAGUGAGCUAUUAC
RNAcentral lists this microRNA precursor (102 nucleotides) under Oikopleura dioica. Its description in RNAcentral is "microRNA odi-mir-124a precursor". Its record names the gene odi-mir-124a. Lineage: Eukaryota; Metazoa; Chordata; Appendicularia; Copelata; Oikopleuridae. The record is from miRBase by way of RNAcentral.